RNAcentral lists this ribosomal RNA (165 nucleotides) under Raddia guianensis. RNAcentral describes it as "5.8S ribosomal RNA". It matches the Rfam family "5.8S ribosomal RNA". Rfam says of the family: 5.8S ribosomal RNA (5.8S rRNA) is a component of the large subunit of the eukaryotic ribosome. It is transcribed by RNA polymerase I as part of the 45S precursor that also contains 18S and 28S rRNA. Lineage: Eukaryota; Viridiplantae; Streptophyta; Magnoliopsida; Poales; Poaceae. The record is from RNAcentral.
AACACGACUCUCGGCAACGGAUAUCUCGGCUCUCGCAUCGAUGAAGAACGUAGCGAAAUGCGAUACCUGGUGUGAAUUGCAGAAUCCCGCGAACCAUCGAGUCUUUGAACGCAAGUUGCGCCCGAGGCCAUCCGGCCGAGGGCACGCCUGCCUGGGCGUCACGCC